RNAcentral lists this ribosomal RNA (394 nucleotides) under uncultured cyanobacterium. RNAcentral's name for it is "bacterial SSU rRNA". It matches the Rfam family "Bacterial small subunit ribosomal RNA", at positions 356 to 765 of the family's 1533-position model. The record is from RNAcentral. Lineage: Bacteria; Bacillati; Cyanobacteriota.
GGGGAAUUUUCCGCAAUGGGCGCAAGCCUGACGGAGCAACGCCGCGUGAGGGAGGAAGGUCUGUGGAUUGUAAACCUCUUUUCUCUGUGAAGAAGAUCUGACGGUAGCAGAGGAAUCAGCAUCGGCUAACUCCGUGCCAGCAGCCGCGGUAAGACGGAGGAUGCAAGCGUUAUCCGGAAUUAUUGGGCGUAAAGCGUCCGUAGGCGGUUUCGUAAGUCAACUGUUAAAGACUGGGGCUUAACCCUGGGAGUGCAGUUGAAACUGCGAGACUUGAGAGUGGUAGGGGUAGAGGGAAUUCCUAGUGUAGCGGUGAAAUGCGUAGAUAUUAGGAAGAACACCAGUGGCGAAGGCGCUCUACUGGGCCAUUACUGACGCUGAUGGACGAAAGCUAGGG